This 1361-nucleotide ribosomal RNA is filed under the name Flavobacterium chryseum. RNAcentral describes it as "16S ribosomal RNA". It matches the Rfam family "Bacterial small subunit ribosomal RNA", at positions 70 to 1436 of the family's 1533-position model. Lineage: Bacteria; Pseudomonadati; Bacteroidota; Flavobacteriia; Flavobacteriales; Flavobacteriaceae. The record is from RNAcentral.
UAUAGUUCUUCGGAACUAGAGACCGGCGCACGGGUGCGUAACGCGUAUGCAAUCUACCUUUUACAGAGGGAUAGCCCAGAGAAAUUUGGAUUAAUACCUCAUAGUAUUAUGAAAUGGCAUCAUUUUAUAAUUAAAGUCACUACGGUAAAAGAUGAGCAUGCGUCCCAUUAGCUAGUUGGUAAGGUAACGGCUUACCAAGGCUACGAUGGGUAGGGGUCCUGAAAGGGAGAUCCCCCACACUGGUACUGAAACACGGACCAAACUCCUACGGGAGGCAGCAGUGAGGAAUAUUGGACAAUGGGCGCAAGCCUGAUCCAGCCAUGCCGCGUGCAGGAUGACGGUCCUAUGGAUUGUAAACUGCUUUUAUACGAGAAGAAACACUGAUUCGUGAAUCAGCUUGACGGUAUCGUAAGAAUAAGGAUCGGCUAACUCCGUGCCAGCAGCCGCGGUAAUACGGAGGAUCCAAGCGUUAUCCGGAAUCAUUGGGUUUAAAGGGUCCGUAGGCGGUUUAAUAAGUCAGUGGUGAAAGCCCAUCGCUCAACGGUGGAACGGCCAUUGAUACUGUUAGACUUGAAUUAUUAGGGAAGUAACUAGAAUAUGUAGUGUAGCGGUGAAAUGCUUAGGAGAUUACAUGGAAUACCAAUUGCGAAGGCAGGUUACUACUAAUGGAUUGACGCUGAUGGACGAAAGCGUGGGUAGCGAACAGGAUUAGAUACCCUGGUAGUCCACGCCGUAAACGAUGGAUACUAGCUGUUGGAAGCAAUUUCAGUGGCUAAGCGAAAGUGAUAAGUAUCCCACCCCUGGGGAGUACGUUCGCAAGAAUGAAACUCAAAGGAAUUGACGGGGGCCCGCACAAGCGGUGGAGCAUGUGGUUUAAUUGGAUGAUACGCGAGGAACCUUACCAAGGCUUAAAUGUAGUUUGACCGGUUUGGAAACAGAUCUUUCGCAAGACAAAUUACAAGGUGGUGCAUGGUUGUCGUCAGCUCGUGCCGUGAGGUGUCAGGUUAAGUCCUAUAACGAGCGCAACCCCUGUUGUUAGUUGCCAGCGAGUCAUGUCGGGAACUCUAACAAGACUGCCAGUGCAAACUGUGAGGAAGGUGGGGAUGACGUCAAAUCAUCACGGCCCUUACGCCUUGGGUUACACACGUGCUACAAUGGCCGGUACAGAGAGCAGCCACUGGGCGACCAGGAGCGAAUCUAUAAAACCGGUCACAGUUCGGAUCGGAGUCUGCAACUCGACUCCGUGAAGCUGGAAUCGCUAGUAAUCGGAUAUCAGCCAUGAUCCGGUGAAUACGUUCCCGGGCCUUGUACACACCGCCCGUCAAGCCAUGGAAGCUGGGGGUGCCUGAAGUCGGUGACCG